This 484-nucleotide ribosomal RNA is filed under the name uncultured bacterium. RNAcentral's name for it is "partial 16S ribosomal RNA". It matches the Rfam family "Bacterial small subunit ribosomal RNA", at positions 29 to 507 of the family's 1533-position model. The record is from RNAcentral.
AUUGAACGCUGGCGGAAUGCUUUACACAUGCAAGUCGAACGGCAGCACGGGGGCAACCCUGGUGGCGAGUGGCGAACGGGUGAGUAAUACAUCGGAACGUGCCCGGUCGUGGGGGAUAACGUAGCGAAAGUUACGCUAAUACCGCAUACGAUCUGAGGAUGAAAGCGGGGGACCUUCGGGCCUCGCGCGAUCGGAGCGGCCGAUGUCCGAUUAGGUAGUUGGUGGGGUAAAGGCCUACCAAGCCGACGAUCUGUAGCUGGUCUGAGAGGACGACCAGCCACACUGGGACUGAGACACGGCCCAGACUCCUACGGGAGGCAGCAGUGGGGAAUUUUGGACAAUGGGCGCAAGCCUGAUCCAGCCAUGCCGCGUGCAGGACGAAGGCCUUCGGGUUGUAAACUGCUUUUGUAUGGAGCGAAAAGGCUCUGGCUAAUACCUGGGGCCCAUGACGGUACCGUAAGAAUAAGCACCGGCUAACUACGUG